AUGGCAGAGCGGUGGAACUGGGUGAUCUUUAAUGUCCAUUCUAACCUACAACAUUCUAUGAUUCUAUGAUCAUGAUCUUAUGACAACUGCAGGCCUGCAUGGACAUUCCUGUAAUCAAAACAGGUUACAGCUGAUUUCAUCCUGAUUCCAUUUUUAAGUUUUUAUGUUGUCCUUUCUGAUAUCCUUGUAAACCCUUAGCUGAUAGACUCUCCAGGACCAAUUUCACCUGCAAGAUCUGGUUUCCCUCCACCCAUUUGAAGAGUGCCCAGCGUUUGUCCUUCCUCUCAUUUCAGCAGGAGGUAGGCUGUGAGACACCAGUUCUCUGUCUGCAAUGGUAGCAAAGUGGUGGCUGAAAGCAGAACUUCACACAGGCUCUACACUUUGCACACGAAAUGGACUCGACAGCAACUUUUGCUGUGCUACAGGACACAAUCUGCUUCAUCCCAGUCUUCCUGCGGUACUUCCUGCUGUGCUUUUGGAGAUCCCACACACCCUCCCGCCCCAUCCUGCCCUUCCCCCGCCACCACUGCUCGGCGCCCCGGAUCCCACCGGUCAGAAAGGAAAGCGCGAAGGCCUAGGCCAUAAGUAAAACGACAAAGUACAAAAGUAAAAGCCGGUUAUUCCGUCCAUAAGGCACGGCCAGGCUGAGGCUUCUCUGAACUGUUCGCGUACAACCGAUUCCGGUGCUCCAAGGAUGAGGGGGUGGAUCUGAGACAGGGCACUGGGGCAGAGCCCUGAGGAUUGCCUGGCUGUUUCUAGGAAGAAUCAGAAGGUGCUUUUGGCUCUGGCGAGCUAUGUCAGCCCGUCUUCCCUCAGCAGCAGCAGCCGCAGCAGCGGCCAGAGCUGCUCCGCAGACCUGCGGCACAGCGAGGCGGCACGGAAGGGCUGCGUGCCCUGCCUGCUCUGCGCCUCCGCCUGCUGCUCGGGCACCCGGGGCUGCCGGCGGCCGCCCCCUUCCCCAGCACCCCGGAGGAGCGUCCCAGCCGCAGGCCGGCUGCGGGGAGCGGCUGCCCGCGCCGGGAGAGGCG
This is a long non-coding RNA of Passer domesticus (house sparrow), 1028 nucleotides long. RefSeq lists it as uncharacterized. The record is from RefSeq and is a predicted model, not a curated record. NCBI's taxonomy places the organism in Eukaryota, Metazoa, Chordata, Aves, Passeriformes, Passeridae. The transcript has 3 exons.